UCGGCAGCAGGUUCGAGUCGAACGCAGUGAGACAACGGAGCCGCUUGCGGCGACGGCCCGCAGGGCGAGGCGAAGCCGAGUCAUCCUGCACGACCCACCA
Molecule: small RNA, 100 nt
Filed under: Klebsiella pneumoniae
Lineage: Bacteria; Pseudomonadati; Pseudomonadota; Gammaproteobacteria; Enterobacterales; Enterobacteriaceae
Description: partial RtT sRNA
Rfam family: RtT RNA
About the family: This family represents a bacterial cis-regulatory element known as RtT RNA.
Source: RNAcentral